Molecule: ribosomal RNA, 253 nt
Filed under: uncultured bacterium
Lineage: Bacteria
Description: partial 16S ribosomal RNA
Rfam family: Bacterial small subunit ribosomal RNA
Source: RNAcentral
UACGGAGGGUGCGAGCGUUGUCCGGAAUCACUGGGCGUAAAGGGUGCGUAGGCGGUCGGGUAAGUCGGAUGUGAAAUCUCAGGGCUCAACCCUGAAACUGCAUUCGAUACUGCCUGGCUAGGGUACUGGAGAGGAGACUGGAAUUUACGGUGUAGCAGUGAAAUGCGUAGAUAUGCGGAGGAACACCGAUGGCGAAGGCAAUCCCCUGGACCUGUACUGACGCUCAUGCACGAAAGCGUGGGGAGCAAACAGG